RNAcentral lists this ribosomal RNA (454 nucleotides) under uncultured bacterium. RNAcentral describes it as "partial 16S ribosomal RNA". It matches the Rfam family "Bacterial small subunit ribosomal RNA", at positions 28 to 507 of the family's 1533-position model. The record is from RNAcentral.
GAUGAACGCAGACAGAAUGCUUAACACAUGCAAGUCUACUUGAACUUCGGUUUGGGUGGCGGACGGGUGAGUAACGCGUAAAGAACUUGCCUCACAGUUAGGGACAACAUUUGGAAACGAAUGCUAAUACCUGAUAUUAUGAUUUUAGGGCAUCCUAGGAUUAUGAAAGCUAUAUGUGCUGUGAGAGAGCUUUGCGUCCCAUUAGCUAGUUGGAGAGGUAACGGCUCACCAAGGCGAUGAUGGGUAGCCGGCCUGAGAGGGUGAACGGCCACAAGGGGACUGAGACACGGCCCUUACUCCUACGGGAGGCAGCAGUGGGGAAUAUUGGACAAUGGACCAAAAGUCUGAUCCAGCAAUUCUGUGUGCACGAUGACGUUUUUCGGAAUGUAAAGUGCUUUCAGUUGGGAAGAAAAAAAUGACGGUACCAACAGAAGAAGUGACGGCUAAAUACGUG